GACACACUUCAAUCAGGAUGCUGC
RNAcentral lists this non-coding RNA (24 nucleotides) under Arabidopsis thaliana (thale cress). The record is from RNAcentral. Lineage: Eukaryota; Viridiplantae; Streptophyta; Magnoliopsida; Brassicales; Brassicaceae.